This is a ribosomal RNA of Pan paniscus (pygmy chimpanzee), 101 nucleotides long. NCBI's taxonomy places the organism in Eukaryota, Metazoa, Chordata, Mammalia, Primates, Hominidae. The record is from Ensembl.
GUCUAUGGCCAUAGUACUAUGAACAUGCCCGAUUUCAUCUGUUUGAGGAAGCUAAGCAAGGUCGGGCCUGGUUAGUACUCAGACAGAAGGUACUGUAUACC